CCUACGGGGGGCAGCAGUGGGGAAUAUUGCACAAUGGGGGAAACCCUGAUGCAGCGACGCCGCGUGAGUGAAGAAGUAAUUCGGUAUGUAAAGCUCUAUCAGCAGGGAAGAAAAUGACGGUACCUGAGUAAGAAGCCCCGGCUAACUACGUGCCAGCAGCCGCGGUAAUACGUAGGGGGCAAGCGUUAACCGGAUUUACUGGGUGUAAAGGGAGCGUAGACGGCAGUGCAAGUCUGGAGUGAAAGGCGGGGGCUCAAACCCCGGACUGCUCUGGAAACUGUACGGCUGGAGUGCAGGAGAGGUAAGUGGAAUUCCUAGUGUAGCGGUGAAAUGCGUAGAUAUUAGGAGGAACACCAGUGGCGAAGGCGGCUUACUGGACUGUAACUGACGUUGAGGCUCGAAAGCGUGGGGAGCAAACAGGAUUAGAUACCCGGGUAGUC
Molecule: ribosomal RNA, 440 nt
Filed under: uncultured bacterium
Lineage: Bacteria
Description: partial 16S ribosomal RNA
Rfam family: Bacterial small subunit ribosomal RNA
Source: RNAcentral